AAGGAUCAUUAACGAGUUAGGGUUCUCUUUUCGAGGCCCGACCUCCCAACCCUGUGUCUAUGUUACCAAUCGUUGCUUCGGUGGGCCGGUCCUCGACCGCCGGGUGGUUCUGCCGCCUGGACAGCGCCCGCCGAUGGCCUCAAACAAAACUCUUGUAUCAAAACCUGUCGCCUGAAUUAUUCUUGAUUUAAUCAAAAACAAAACUUUCAACAACGGAUCUCUUGGUUCUG
RNAcentral lists this unclassified non-coding RNA (230 nucleotides) under uncultured fungus. RNAcentral's name for it is "partial contains 18S rRNA, ITS1, 5.8S rRNA, ITS2 and 28S rRNA". Lineage: Eukaryota; Fungi. The record is from RNAcentral.